This 305-nucleotide ribosomal RNA is filed under the name uncultured bacterium. RNAcentral describes it as "bacterial SSU rRNA". It matches the Rfam family "Bacterial small subunit ribosomal RNA", at positions 338 to 660 of the family's 1533-position model. The record is from RNAcentral.
CCUACGGGACGCAGCAGUGGGGAAUAUUGCACAAUGGGGGAAACCCUGAUGCAGCGACGCCGCGUGAGUGAAGAAGUAAUUCGUUACGUAAAGCUCUAUCAGCAGGGAAGAAAAUGACGGUACCUGAGUAAGAAGCCCCGGCUAACUACGUGCCAGCAGCCGCGGUAAUACGUAGGGGGCAAGCGUUAUCCGGAUUUACUGGGCGUAAAGGGAGCGUAGACGGUGAGACAAGUCUGAAGUGGAAGCCCGGGGCUCAACCCCGGGACUGCUUUGGAAACUGCCUGACUGGAGUGCUGGAGAGGCAA